CCCAGCCCAAGUUGGCUUUCACGAUUAAUCUAGGUCGUUCCCUUUCCCCCAACCUCCCCUAUUCCUCUCAAGCCCUCCCAUGCCGGCCGCCGCCACUCCUUUGCACGGCUGUGACCUACCUGCAUCCCAGCACGCCGCCCCUCACGACUCCCCUCUGACCCUUCGACCCGGCGCGCCGUUCCUCGUCACCACCCUCGCGCCCUGCAUCCGGGCGCGCUGCCCCUCGUCACCGAUCCCCUACGACCAACGGCGGAUUAAGGUGUCAACCAUAUAAAACAAUCGAAGCUGGUGCCUUCUCUCCAUUACUUUAAUCUCAUUGCUCCAACGACACGCAAGCCAUAUUGGCUAAGGAGGACGUCCUUCCAAUCUCACUUCCCAUGCCCAACCAAACUGCAAUCUAGUGCAGUGGGGAAGGUGUACAUCAAAGGAAGUUUGUAGCUGAAUGGGAAACCACUAUUGUUGGUGAAGUUGCCGAGAAUAGGAAUUAUUGCAGACUGGUCGCAGGUAUGCAAGGAGCAAGAAGAGAGUAGCUUUUUUCUUUUGAGGAUUUUUAUGUUGUGUUGUGCUACUGAAAUCUGAGACGUACAUCCUAGAGUUUUGUUUUAGGAGAUACUGAUGAUGUGCUUUAUUUAGUUUCAGACCUCUACUUGGUAUAUAAUGAGAAAGUACAUCCUAGAGUUCGUAAUGUGGGAUGCUGAUGAUGCGCGUUCUUUAGUUUCAAACAUCUGAAUAUACAUAUUACCUGGAUGGCUAAGAUUUGUAGGUGCUAUACAAGCAACUAGGCGAUUCAAUUCACCUAAGGUGCGGACGUAGUUCUGCACCGCGAACUCAAGCACCACUUCUAGUUUUGUUGGAAAGUGGAUAAGUCCUUUUGGAGCAUUACACGAUUUGUUCAGUCACUUCUCUAUGUUCCUUACAUGCCAAAGGUACGGGUUUGCUUACUUGGAUCUGUUCCUUCAAUUUUUUGCUCACCCACUGAUCCACAUCUUAAAAGCACAAACUACUAUGUUCAAAUGGAAUUUCUGGAUAGUGUUGUUGAAGACCUGGAGGUAUAUGCAUCAGGAGGUCAAGGUGGCACCGUAGCAGUAUUUAAUUAAAAAUACACGUGAGAUCAAAAAAUGAUGCUAAGUUCCUCUUUCCUCAUAUUUUUUUUCUGCUUGGUUUGUUUUAAUGUCGUUCUUUUGUUAAAUAGAUGUACCAAAUAAUUAAGAACAUAUUUGUUGCUUAUUUUUAAAAGUUCAUGCAUAUGGUGUAUGGAGCUAGAACUUGCUUAUGAAGAGCUGUUAUGCAACUAAGAUCUAAUUUUUGUAAUUCGUUGACUAAAUCCAUGAUACUAAAUUGUAUGUUGUCAUAUAUAUGUUAUACGUACACAUGUAGUUACUAGGCAUGCAUUGUGAGCAGAUAAGUUCAGGGGCUGUUUGGAUCAUUGCCAUGGGACGCCAGGCCAAAAUAUUGGUCGUUGACCCAACCCAGGUGCUCAUUUGGAUGGAGGCCAAUUAAUUGGUACGCCCACACCUCCGUAGCAACCACAAUUCAAUUUCCAACCAACUUUUUGGCAAGGCGUGGGUUGGCAAAUCCUAUGCCAAUUUUUUGGCAAGUCCUCGAUUGGCAUGGCCGGUGCUAGCCUAAACCAAACAGCCCCUCAGUCUCUAUUAAUCUUGUUAAGUACAAAAUAUGGCCUUGCAUACAUGUAUCUCCAUUCUCAUAUAUUGGAAUAUAUACUAAAGGAAAGACUCAUGCUGUAUGCUUCUGAUUCAUGUUAAAAGCGUGUAACCUCUUUACCGCUACGCUUCCUUUUCACAUAAUAGGAAAAGGUCUAUACCAAACAAAGGAAGCUCACUGAACACAUCAUUACAAAUUACCUGGCGAAAGGCCAGGCGAUGAAGAGGAUCAAGUUGUGAGCCCCCAACAUAGACGUAUAGUGGCUGAAUGUGCUUCUCAUCAAUGCUUUGGCUGCAUCCUGUGUCUCCAGGCAGGAACUAAAGUACUCUUGAAGAGCCUGAAAAUCAAAAUGGAAACGUAGCUCUUCCUACAGUUGUAAGUUGAGAUCCUAAAUUUAAACUUGAUGGUGCUUAACUUUCAAAUGAAUUCUGGGCAGUGCAUCCCGAUAUGGAUCUUUCGAAAACUUAAGAUUUGGUGCGAAGUUGCAAAAAUUGCUACUCUUUGGUAAUGCAGAAAAAAAAGAUUGCAUGGCCUCCAACCUUUAUUCAAAAGACAAAUGGAUGAUUAUAUGGGUGUGUGGCAAGUAUACUGAUGGUGGUGGUGGUGGUGGUGGUGGUGAUGAUGAUGAUGUCCCUGUUCAUGAUGAUGAUGAUGUUGGAUGCUUUCAGUUUUAAUUUAGUUGUAGGGAUGAUGUUCCUCGGUUAAGUUUUAGUUAAGUUGCAGGGAUGUUGAUGGACGCUUUUGGUUUGAGUUUUGUAGUCACGAAAAUAUUUAGAGUAUGCAUCACAUUUGGAUGAUGUUCCUCGUGUAAUAUCCACUACUGUAAUCCAACAAUUUUAUCUAAUAUAUGAUUCUUCCUUGUGUGAGUA
This is a long non-coding RNA of Triticum aestivum (bread wheat), 2531 nucleotides long. RefSeq lists it as uncharacterized. The record is from RefSeq and is a predicted model, not a curated record. The transcript has 4 exons. Lineage: Eukaryota; Viridiplantae; Streptophyta; Magnoliopsida; Poales; Poaceae.